RNAcentral lists this ribosomal RNA (501 nucleotides) under uncultured bacterium. RNAcentral describes it as "partial 16S ribosomal RNA". It matches the Rfam family "Bacterial small subunit ribosomal RNA", at positions 29 to 523 of the family's 1533-position model. The record is from RNAcentral.
AUUGAACGCUGGCGGCAUGCCUUACACAUGCAAGUCGAACGGCAGCACGGGUGCUUGCACCUGGUGGCGAGUGGCGAACGGGUGAGUAAUACAUCGGAACGUACCUUAUCGUGGGGGAUAACGCAGCGAAAGAUGUGCUAAUACCGCAUACGCCCCGAGGGGGAAAGCGGGGGAUCGAAGGACCUCGCGCGAAUAGAACGCCGGGUGCCUGAUUAGAUUGUUGGUGGGGUAAAAGCCCACAAAGGCGACGAUCAGUAGCUGGUCUGAGAGGACGAUCAGCCACACAGGGACUGAGACACAGCCCAGACUCCUAUGGGAGGCAGCAGUGGGGAAUUUUGGACAAUGGGGGCAACCCUGAUCCAGCAACGCCGCGUGAGUGAAGAAGGCGUUCGGGUUGUAAAGCUCUUUUGUCAGGGAAGAAACACCGGCUCUAACACAGUCCGGGAAUGACGGUACCUGAAGAAUAAGCACCGGCUAACUACGUGCCAGCAGCCGCCGCCG